RNAcentral lists this long non-coding RNA (459 nucleotides) under Ananas comosus (pineapple). Its description in RNAcentral is "long non-coding RNA (ACOM_LNC043823)". The record is from RNAcentral. Lineage: Eukaryota; Viridiplantae; Streptophyta; Magnoliopsida; Poales; Bromeliaceae.
AUUUGUUUUCAAUAAUCUGUGGCAAUUAAUGCUAACAAUUCCAUAUUCAUCUAUUUUAAUUCCUUUUUCUCUAUCAUAUACAUCAUACCAAUUAUAUCGAAACAAUGCUACUCGAUGACCUCCAACAUAUUGUAAUUCAAUGACCUUCGUCAAGAGCCCAUAGUAAUCUCGUUUUCCAGUUUCUGCACCAGUAUCACCAACAACAACCACCCCACAAUUUUGUAUCUUUAAGCUUUUGUCACGAUCUUCUAUCCGAAACCUAUAUCCAUUUAUUAGAUAACCAUUAUAGCAUGUGACAUAUUUAGUAGGGCCACGUGACAAAGAAAGCAUGUGUUCCAUGAUCAAGCUUUUGUCUUGCUUAUAUAAAUGCGCUACCUACAAGGCGAAUAAUAAAUUAAACAUAUUGCGUUCUACAUAUAUUGCAAAUAUUGAUCGACAAAAAUUUCUAAUUAAAAGUGA